GACCCCCGCCCCCCCCUUCUUCCUCCCCUGCGGAGGGGAGCGUGAGACCGGCAUAUGCACAUUCUCGAGGGCUCGCUACAUUUUUGGAGAAGUGGUGUCCAAAGUCAGACAGGAGUAAGAAUGGUCCAGUUGGCAUGGGCAACAGUAAGAGCUUCCUCGCCAUGCUGCCAUGGCAACUGUAAAACGUCACACUUGGGACAGAGGCAUGCCAAAUUGCAUUGCUUUUGCAUUCUGCGUUUUGCUUGGCUGGCAGGCGAGAUGCAGUCUUGCAUUGGGUGAGUCUCCACACACACACACACACACAGACACAAACACACA
Long non-coding RNA from Phycodurus eques (leafy seadragon), 318 nucleotides. RefSeq lists it as uncharacterized. The transcript has 3 exons. Lineage: Eukaryota; Metazoa; Chordata; Actinopteri; Syngnathiformes; Syngnathidae. The record is from RefSeq and is a predicted model, not a curated record.